CACCAUUCUCUCACCCAUGCAUCAUCCAUCUCACUUCUUAUUCCUCCUUUGGUCGCUGAAAAAUAAAUAGAAAAAAUCACCUGAAUUUCUCCAAUUUGAACAAAAACAUGCGAAAUUAAAAGAAGGAACUAAUUACGUAAAAAAAGAAGUAAAUUUCAAUCUUCUGUCAUUUUCUUAGCAACCAACCAGAAAGAGAUUGAAGCAAACCAUAGAGAGAGAUCUAAAGGAGAUUAUAGCAAAUAAGAAGAACCAGACGUAUAAUAAAUGAUAAGUGAAUGCUUACCGUUGAAUUCUAGGGUUUGGAGCGAAACAUACUAGAAGCAUCGAAGAAGAAACGGAGUAAAAUGAGACGACAAACACAGAAAUGGAUCGAUCGAUCACAAGUAGAAACCCUAGGCAGCGAGGAAGGAUUGAUUGGUAUUGGAUUAGACGUUGGAUUUAGGGUUUUGAAUUUGGGAAUCUGAAAAAAAAAAAAAAAAAAACCCUUGUAAAACCUCUUUGAAGAGAGAUUUUUUUAGCAUCAAGUGUAUAGUAGUUGAGCACUGUAGUGCUGUGUUGUUUUG
Molecule: long non-coding RNA, 563 nt
Filed under: Populus trichocarpa (black cottonwood)
Lineage: Eukaryota; Viridiplantae; Streptophyta; Magnoliopsida; Malpighiales; Salicaceae
Description: long non-coding RNA (PTRI_LNC004632)
Source: RNAcentral